RNAcentral lists this unclassified non-coding RNA (238 nucleotides) under plant metagenome. RNAcentral's name for it is "partial contains small subunit ribosomal RNA, internal transcribed spacer 1, and 5.8S ribosomal RNA". The record is from RNAcentral.
UUUCCGUAGGUGAACCUGCGGAAGGAUCAUUACUGAAGUGAGUAUUCAUCAUUGACGCUUCUUCCAAUUGUGCUGGUUUAGACCGUAUGUAAUGUUAGGGAUUAACCAUGGUUGAAAUUUAUUUUAGCCGUCCCCAACAAUCUAUCUUAUCCUUUAUUACAUUGAACUGAACUCAUUUUGAGAUUACAUAAAAAAUAAUCUUUUAAUACAACUUUCAACAACGGAUCUCUUGGUUCUC